Molecule: long non-coding RNA, 1201 nt
Organism: Populus trichocarpa (black cottonwood)
Lineage: Eukaryota; Viridiplantae; Streptophyta; Magnoliopsida; Malpighiales; Salicaceae
Exons: 3
Source: RefSeq, a predicted model, not a curated record
GAUGUCCCAGCAGUUGAGCUAUAAUCAUUUUUGCUUCCCUUUGGUUUCUUUUUGCCAGUAGAUAGUUGUUUUCCCCCAUGAGAUACCUUCAUAUCAUCGUGUAAGUGGGAUGCAUUUUUCUGUUCAAACUACUGUUUUGUAAGAUCCAAUGUUAUAUCUCCACAUUUUCUCAUCUCCUCAGGCAUAUAAUUGUCUUUAAACAAAGCAAGGCUUUUUGGCUAAAUAACUCCUCCUUUGCCCCACUGAAAUUGGCUCUGAAUAUUAUACCCUGUUGUAACUUGCUACCCUGUUGCUUCAACUUUUUACAUUGUAAUGCUCUACUUCUAUAAUUUUGAAGUGUUACAGCAGCGUAUGGAUGCUGUUAAAAUCUAGAGAGUCUAGCAACUGGUUAACCUGUGAUGCAUUUUCUUCUUCUGUAGCAGUCCAAGUGUUUCUUUUUUUCUUUUUUCUUGCUGUGAUUUGAUUGAGCAUGCUUGCAGAGUUUUAGUGCUGCCUUUUAGUCACAGCCAAUCCAACUUACUAGGAUGUGGUGGUUGCUGAUUCGUGUAGAUAUUAUUUCAAAAUAUGCAAUUAUUAGUUUUAGUUGCAAAACUUAUACGCACUUAUUUUCCUUGACAAAAUUCAAAUUUUGCGAUCCUAUUCAUAUUUGUAAUAUCGUAUCAUUUUCUGGAAUAAUCCACCUUUUAUUUUGCUGUGUUAUGCAGGAGAAACCUCAACUAUUUCAGUUUGUUCCAAAUUAAAAGCAGGUCAAGGCAGCACACCAACUUCUCAAGACUAUUCCACAUAGCUAUGGGAGCAGGAGGGUUGAUGGAGUUCCUGUUUUCAGCAAACAAAAUUCAGAUAUUGCAAUAGCUACCAAAGACGGGAUUAAGUGCAAUAUGAAUGGCUUAUUGGAUCACAAUAUAAAUCAAUAGAGUUGGCUAAGUCUGAUUGGGUUGCAACAAGGAAAUCUCCACCUUGGGCCAUUGAUUAUUGGGGCUUUGGUAAGUCAAAUUUGCUCCAUUUUUUGAUGGUUGCUUAAUUAGAUUAUGCUUAAUUUGUCUGCUGGGCAUGCCUAUUGUAAUCUUUUCAAUUAAUUGGAACUCUGUUUUUCAUUGGGAUAAGAUUAUUCAUAUUUAAAUUUAUUGUCCUUGUAGAUCCUAGUUUUGGAGGUUUAUGUGAACAUGAUGCUGGGAUUAUAUUAAAUUAACUUUUCUGGGCA